UACGUAGGGUGCAAGCGUUGUCCGGAAUUAUUGGGCGUAAAGAGCUCGUAGGCGGUCUGUCGCGUCGGCUGUGAAAACCCGGAGCUCAACUCCGGGCCUGCAGUCGAUACGGGCAAACUGGAGUGUUGCAGGGGAGACUGGAAUUCCUGGUGUAGCGGUGAAAUGCGCAGAUAUCAGGAGGAACACCCGUGGCGAAAGCGGCUCUCUGGGACGGUACUGACGCUGAGACGCGAAAGCGUGGGGAGCAAACAGG
This 253-nucleotide ribosomal RNA is filed under the name uncultured bacterium. Its description in RNAcentral is "partial 16S ribosomal RNA". It matches the Rfam family "Bacterial small subunit ribosomal RNA", at positions 524 to 776 of the family's 1533-position model. The record is from RNAcentral.